UUUCUGUAGGUGAACCUGCGGAAGGAUCAUUAUUGGAUUUUGAAACUUCAGGCUGCUGCUGGCUCUCCUCGGAGGGCAUGUGCACGCUUGUUGUCCAUUAUUUCUCCCACUGUGCACAAAUUGUAGACCUUUCAGUAGGCCUAUGUUGUUUUUCACAAUCUCUGAGUGUAAUAGAAUGGUUUUGAAUCUUGGGAAAUACAAUACAACUUUCAGCAACGGAUCUCUUGGCUCUC
Molecule: unclassified non-coding RNA, 233 nt
Filed under: plant metagenome
Description: partial contains small subunit ribosomal RNA, internal transcribed spacer 1, and 5.8S ribosomal RNA
Source: RNAcentral